Molecule: ribosomal RNA, 290 nt
Filed under: uncultured Legionella sp.
Lineage: Bacteria; Pseudomonadati; Pseudomonadota; Gammaproteobacteria; Legionellales; Legionellaceae
Description: partial 16S ribosomal RNA
Rfam family: Bacterial small subunit ribosomal RNA
Source: RNAcentral
CGCUGGCGGCAUGCUUAACACAUGCAAGUCGAGCGGCAGCACGGUCUAGCUUGCUAGACAGGUGGCGAGUGGCGAACGGGUGAGUAACGCGUAGGAAGUAUGCCUGUGAAGUGGGGGACAACUUGGGGAAAGUCAAGCUAAUACCGCAUAAGGUCUACGGACAAAAGCUGGGGGACCUUGGGGCCUGGCGCUUUAAAGUUAGCCUGCGUCCGAUUGGCUAGUUGGUGGGGUAAGGGGCCUACCAGGGCGACGAGCGGUAGCGGGUCUGAGGGGAUGACCAGCCACACUGG